RNAcentral lists this long non-coding RNA (408 nucleotides) under Homo sapiens (human). RNAcentral describes it as "non-protein coding LINC02036:10". Lineage: Eukaryota; Metazoa; Chordata; Mammalia; Primates; Hominidae. The record is from RNAcentral.
CUUGAACACUUUUGCUGAUGAACUUGACUUCUGCCUUCAAAGCGAUUUUAACGAGAGGAGGUGCGGAAGACCUACUUAAAACCUGAGAGUCUCGAAUAGGAGAGGCGCUUUCAGAUCAGCCCGAGUCUUCUGCAGCGCACAGGAGCUAGUCGUACUGAAAAGAAUGAAGUUGGACUUGUCCAGGCGAGUUUCGGACAGUGCUGGGCUGCCCUGCUCUGAUCUCCUGGGUGUCUUCACCUCCUCUGGUUCCUAAGUCGGCUGCUGCACCAGCACCCAUCAAACUCUCCUGGAAGAGGAAGUGACAGCUCACCGGUAGCCUAGAAGGCCCCUGUGGGCAGAAGCAUGGACUUACUCCUCCUCAUGGAGAUGCGGCUGAGCCAUAUUUCCUUGGCACCUCUCUGGAACCUU